AGUUUGAUCCUGGCUCAGGACGAACGCUGGCGGCGUGCUUAACACAUGCAAGUCGAACGGUGAAGCCCUUCGGGGUGGAUCAGUGGCGAACGGGUGAGUAACACGUGGGCAAUCUGCCCUGCACUCUGGGACAAGCCCUGGAAACGGGGUCUAAUACCGGAUAUGACCGUCUUCCGCAUGGUGGACGGUGGAAAGCUCCGGCGGUGCAGGAUGAGCCCGCGGCCUAUCAGCUUGUUGGUGGGGUGAUGGCCUACCAAGGCGACGACGGGUAGCCGGCCUGAGAGGGCGACCGGCCACACUGGGACUGAGACACGGCCCAGACUCCUACGGGAGGCAGCAGUGGGGAAUAUUGGACAAUGGGCGCAAGCCUGAUCCAGCAAUGCCGCGUGUGUGAAGAAGGCCUUCGGGUUGUAAAGCACUUUUAUCAGGAACGAAAUACCACGGGUUAAUAACCUAUGGGGCUGACGGUACCUGAGGAAUAAGCACCGGCUAACUUCGUGCCAGCAGCCGCGGUA
Molecule: ribosomal RNA, 515 nt
Filed under: uncultured bacterium
Lineage: Bacteria
Description: bacterial SSU rRNA
Rfam family: Bacterial small subunit ribosomal RNA
Source: RNAcentral